GACGAACGCUGGCGGCGUGCUUAACACAUGCAAGUCGAACGGAAAGGCCCUGCUUUUGUGCGGUGCUCGAGUGGCGAACGGGUGAGUUACACGUGAGUAUCCUGCCCUUGACUUUGGGAUAACUUCAAAAAACUGGGGCUAUUACCUGAUCGCAGCUCCUGCUGCAUGGUGUGGUUUGGACAGUUUCGGCGGUUGGGGAUGGACUCGCGUCUUAUCAGCUUGUUGGUGGGGUAGUAGCUUACCAAGCCUUUGGCGGGUAGCAGGCAUGAGAGGGAGACCGGCGACAUUGGGACUGAGAGACGGCCCAGACUCCUACGGGAGGCAGUAGUCGGGAAUAUGGCACAAGGGGCGGAAGUCUGAUGCAGCAACGCCGCGUGCGGGAUGAAGGCCUGCGGGUUGGAAACCGCUUUGGACUGUGACGAAGCGUGAGUGACGGUAAGGGGUAAAGAAGCACCGGCUAACUACGUG
RNAcentral lists this ribosomal RNA (468 nucleotides) under uncultured bacterium. Its description in RNAcentral is "partial 16S ribosomal RNA". It matches the Rfam family "Bacterial small subunit ribosomal RNA", at positions 28 to 507 of the family's 1533-position model. The record is from RNAcentral.